CCUUCGGGUUGUAAAGCACUUUCAGUCAGGAGGAAAGGUUAGUAGUUAAUACCUGCUAGCUGUGACGUUACUGACAGAAGAAGCACCGGCUAACUCCGUGCCAGCAGCCGCGGUAAUACGGAGGGUGCGAGCGUUAAUCGGAAUUACUGGGCGUAAAGCGUACGCAGGCGGUUUGUUAAGCGAGAUGUGAAAGCCCCGGGCUCAACCUGGGAACUGCAUUUCGAACUGGCAAACUAGAGUGUGAUAGAGGGUGGUAGAAUUUCAGGUGUAGCGGUGAAAUGCGUAGAGAUCUGAAGGAAUACCGAUGGCGAAGGCAGCCACCUGGGUCAACACUGACGCUCAUGUACGAAAGCGUGGGGAGCAAACAGGAUUAGAUACCCUGGUAGUCCACGCCGUAAACGAUGUCUACUAGAAGCUCGGAGCCUCGGCUCUGUUUUUCAAAGCUAACGCAUUAAGUAGACCGCCUGGGGAGUACGGCCGCAAGGUUAAAACUCAAAUGAAUUGACGGGGGCCCGCACAAGCGGUGGAGCAUGUGGUUUAAUUCGAUGCAACGCGAAGAACCUUACCUACACUUGACAUACAGAGAACUUACCAGAGAUGGUUUGGUGCCUUCGGGAACUCUGAUACAGGUGCUGCAUGGCUGU
This 644-nucleotide ribosomal RNA is filed under the name Pseudoalteromonas sp. V4.BE.34. Its description in RNAcentral is "bacterial SSU rRNA". It matches the Rfam family "Bacterial small subunit ribosomal RNA", at positions 415 to 1052 of the family's 1533-position model. Lineage: Bacteria; Pseudomonadati; Pseudomonadota; Gammaproteobacteria; Alteromonadales; Pseudoalteromonadaceae. The record is from RNAcentral.